Molecule: long non-coding RNA, 646 nt
Organism: Halichondria panicea
Lineage: Eukaryota; Metazoa; Porifera; Demospongiae; Suberitida; Halichondriidae
Exons: 3
Source: RefSeq, a predicted model, not a curated record
ACAAGUUCAAGAAGAACAACAAAACAGCAGGAAGGCCAUUGACACGUUAAAAACGAAAAACUCACAUGUUUUUGCCGUGGAAAGCACGUCGUGGGGUGUAAGUACAUAGAUAGCAUUCUCAAAACUUGACAUUAUAAUCCAAUAAUUGCAGGUUUCUCUGAGUUCGAAUUUGGCUAAACUAUUCCUAAUGUCUGAAAGUAUAGAGAAAUAGGAGACGAAGUCAUCAAGGUUAUUAAUCAGAAUUGAUAUAACAAACAUUAUUACUAGACACAAAUGAGAGUAUGUAUGGACAUGGAUGAUAGGGCAGACACGGAGGUACUGUCAAUAACUCUAAAAUGGUGCAAAAAAGGUUGAGCGACAUGCGUAUCGAUGAAAGGCGCAAGGUGCUAGGUCGCCAACCUUACAAAGGAUUUCCCCUGAAGAAAUGUAGUGACCUAGCCAAAGAGACUGAGAACUUUGAAGGCUCCCAUGGACCGAGAGAUCGAGACAGCAUACACCCAUAAUUUAGCCCUGCUAAGAAAGUAUGCAAGAGAAAACCCCCAUUAAAGCUCAACAACCUGCACACCAAUCGGCAGUCAUCGAGUCGUGACAUUGCCAAGAGAUUUGCAGUGAUGGAGCAACUCUACUUCCUACUUAACAAGAGUGU